Molecule: long non-coding RNA, 669 nt
Organism: Pseudophryne corroboree (corroboree frog)
Lineage: Eukaryota; Metazoa; Chordata; Amphibia; Anura; Myobatrachidae
Exons: 3
Source: RefSeq, a predicted model, not a curated record
UGCGGACACAUAGGACAGCUGCUGGUAAGCUACAAGAGCGGUCCCAAAUAGGAAGUUCUAUCAGAUAUUGUUAAAUCGUGGAAGUCAAUUAUUUAAAAAAAUAAUAAUAAUUUACAGUUAAAUAUGGAUCAUAUCUUUAUGAGAAUACAGUGGUUUAAAAUUAAAUGAUUUGUUAUUCAGAAAGAACACCCCCGAAGAAAUCGCUAUAAGACGAAACGCGUUGGAUGAAAGCUUAUUAAUUUCUUGUUUGGGAAAGUUGAAAUUCAACAUUGUAUCUAUAAUGAAUAACAACAUAUUGUGAAAAUGUUUAGCAAUUUUUCUUUUUAAUGGAAAUGAUGAUUUAAAUUGUUUUUAACAAUAUAAAGAAACAAGUGUCUUGAGGAAAAAGGGUGUUUUUGCAUAGUCAUCCUCUCUUUGCUGGUAACCAGAUAUAAACAUACCUAAUUAUACUUAAACCAGUAAUCAGAUACAAACACACCAAAUCAUACUUUAAUAAGUGCGCUCCACAGAGAUUUUUUCGGUUUCUAUUUAAUUCUAGUCUCCUUCGACAGGGGAUCAUCUCUGUGUGGAAGCUUGCCUAUUGAUAAAGGUGUAGGGUUAAAGAAAUUGAUUUAAAAUAUACUAACUGAUUUUGAAUAAAUAAAACAGUAGUUCUAUUUCUUGAGCGUA